GACGAACGCUGGCGGCGUGCUUAACACAUGCAAGUCGAACGGAAAGGCCCUGCUUUUGUGGGGUGCUCGAGUGGCGAACGGGUGAGUAACACGUGAGUAACCUGCCCUUGACUUUGGGAUAACUUCAGGAAACUGGGGCUAAUACCGGAUAGGAGCUCCUGCUGCAUGGUGGGGGUUGGAAAGUUUCGGCGGUUGGGGAUGGACUCGCGGCUAUCAGCUUGUUGGCGGGGUAGUGGCUUACCAAGGCUUUGACGGGUAGCCGGCCUGAGAGGGUGACCGGCCACAUUGGGACUGAGAUACGGCCCAGACUCCUACGGGAGGCAGCAGUGGGGAAUAUUGCACAAUGGGCGGAAGCCUGAUGCAGCAACGCCGCGUGCGGGAUGACGGCCUUCGGGUUGUAAACCGCUUUCGCCUGUGACGAAGCGUGAGUGACGGUAAUGGGUAAAGAAGCACCGGCUAACUACGUG
RNAcentral lists this ribosomal RNA (467 nucleotides) under uncultured bacterium. Its description in RNAcentral is "partial 16S ribosomal RNA". It matches the Rfam family "Bacterial small subunit ribosomal RNA", at positions 28 to 507 of the family's 1533-position model. The record is from RNAcentral.